ACUCUGCCGUGUUACAAACGGCUGGUCCGAAAUAUAUUAGCUGAUCCUAGUGAGACUUGGUUCUACUUGGCGUGAUAAUUAUCUACGUCGAGGACAUCGCAAGAUGGCCAAAGCUUGUCAUGGAUUGCUUCUAAUCGUCUUCAUCGACAACUUAUCAUCAAUCUGACCUCGAAUCAGGCGGGACUACCCGCUGAACUUAA
RNAcentral lists this unclassified non-coding RNA (200 nucleotides) under soil metagenome. Its description in RNAcentral is "partial contains internal transcribed spacer 2 and large subunit ribosomal RNA". The record is from RNAcentral.